RNAcentral lists this long non-coding RNA (1553 nucleotides) under Sus scrofa (pig). RNAcentral describes it as "lncRNA (ENSSSCG00040067529.1)". The record is from RNAcentral. Lineage: Eukaryota; Metazoa; Chordata; Mammalia; Artiodactyla; Suidae.
UCUGUCUUCAGAAUUUCACAGUGGGUUCCUGGGAAGGUGGAAGCCUCUCCCUGCCUCUCUGGCAGACCUGAACUCUGUCCUCUGAUGCCUCAAGCAAUAAGAUCACAACUUUCUGCCUGGCAGACUGAGAUGGGUGAAGUGAGGAGCAGGAGGGGACCGACACGACAGAGGUGUGCAGCCUCCAGCAUCUCCUCCUUUGUGAACUGGAUCCUCCCCAAGGAGACUACGAGAUGAAAACUUCGGAGCCCGGGAGUGAGUGGCCAGCAGGUUGCAGACGUCAGGUGAUGGCCACCAGCCAGCAUGGAACACGCCCCCACAAGACACACAGCAGAGGUGCCACCUGGACCUCCCACCCUGUCAUCUCAAUGCCUUGGACCCCUGGCCAGGAUAUGUGGGGAUGGCACCCACCUGGGCACCCAGCUACUCAUCUGCUGUCUCACCAAUGAGGAGAAUGAAGAACACAGGCGGCAUGAUUGUCCACAUGGAAAAAUAAGUUUUCCUCCUCUCACUGGCCAUCUGGAGCAGCUCUAUAUGAUGGAUCUGUGAAGUGUUCCUUGAAUAUCUCUGCCCAGAGUGCAACAAUGAGGCCGCUAAUUGAACAAUUCCAACAACCCCGUGGCAUCGUGUAAGUAGGCUGUCCAUGUGUAGGGGUGGGUGCUCUGUGGAAAAGCUUCCUUUGUGAAGGAGGGUGGAUUGGGCUUAAGAUUCUACCAAUUCUAAGAGUCUGUGAUUUGCUUCUUUUUUUACAGCCUGGCUAUAUUUAGAUUUAUGAAUUAUAUUCAAGAUGGACUCACCAAUUAUUUCUUCAAUGAGUUAUUUCAUUCAAAAGUUAUUGAGAGAGGAGUUCCCAUUGUGGCUCAGUGAAUUAAGGACCCAACAUUGUCUCUGUGAGGGAUUGAUCCAUGGCCUUGCUCAGUGGGUUAAUGAUCUGGAGUUGCUGCAAGCUGUGGUGCAGGCAUAUAGCUGCAGCUGUAUUUCAACCCCUAGCCCAGGAACUUCCAUAUGAGGCAGGUACAGGCAUAAAAAGAAAAAAAAAAAAUUCAGAUAAGACCCAGAGUCUUCCAACCUAAAAGGAAAGACACCUAUAUACAAUUAAAAAAUACUACACAUCAUACUAAGAAUCAAGAAAAUAACAUAAAUGAGAAGACAAUUAGCUGACACCAACAUCUGUCAACGCAUCUGUCAAAGACUGUAAAGCAACCACUGUAAAAGUGCUUCAGAAAACAAUCACAAAUUCUCUUGAAAUGAAAUGGAAAAACAGAAAAAUGUCAGCAAAGAAAAGUUAUUUAAAAAUGGAAAGUAUUGAACUGAUGAAUACAAUAAAAGAAAUUAAAGCUCAUCCAUGGAUGAGCUAAAUUGUAGAAUGGUUAUGACCAAAGAUAGAAUCAGUGAAACUGAGAAAUAAACAAAAAAUAUCACAUGGUCUGAAGAACAGAGAAAAUAGACUGAAAAUACUCUCUACUGCAAAUGAUGACUUUAAUGCACAAAUUGGUAGCAUCAACCACAAUGCAGAGGGGUUGUUAAAUCAACUUAAGAGAACUCAUUGUUUUAAA